AGAGUCUAGAGAUGGUUGAUGAAU
This 24-nucleotide non-coding RNA is filed under the name Arabidopsis thaliana (thale cress). The record is from RNAcentral. Lineage: Eukaryota; Viridiplantae; Streptophyta; Magnoliopsida; Brassicales; Brassicaceae.